Molecule: long non-coding RNA, 496 nt
Organism: Xiphias gladius (swordfish)
Lineage: Eukaryota; Metazoa; Chordata; Actinopteri; Istiophoriformes; Xiphiidae
Exons: 3
Source: RefSeq, a predicted model, not a curated record
CAGAGCUCAACCAGCUUGGUUAAGUUGAGGCUAGCUAAGGAUAGCAUGCUAACAUCAUGUUUCUUUUACAGCGUAGGGCAAUGAAAUAUUAUGUUCUUGUGUGUGUUAGUUAAUGUUAGAUAAACGUAUCUAAGUUUCAAUGCCCUUACAUUAACUUAGAGGACCGUGUUGUUUGCUAAUUAACGAGAACUUGGCACCUCAGAGGGCCUUUUUAGGAAGAUGUACGUAAGUCUUUCAUGUCUGAGAUCUAAGAGUGAUUACAGAUUCAGACCUGAGGGACCAGUCUGGGAGGACCUGCUCCAGUCACUGUUUACCUGCUGGAAGGAGACUGUGGGGAGAUGAAGAAAAAGGCAGGGACAUCAGUGUCAUCAAGCUUGACUAUGGGGUAAAAAGGGAACGUCACAGCCAUUGAAAGAGAGUAAAAGUGAGAGAAAAAGAAGAAAACGUGGCUAGUGAGAGGUUUGCAAGCUGAGCGGUGUGAGGCUGAGAAAGGAAG